Papaver somniferum (opium poppy) is the source of this 4964-nucleotide RNA transcript. RefSeq lists it as uncharacterized. NCBI's taxonomy places the organism in Eukaryota, Viridiplantae, Streptophyta, Magnoliopsida, Ranunculales, Papaveraceae. The transcript is spliced from 6 exons. The record is from RefSeq and is a predicted model, not a curated record.
ACAAUAUUGGGCCGGUUUACGCUCUUUCCUCUUGGCCUUUUCUCUCUAUUUCCCCCUUCCAUCCGAGUUGUAGAGUUGAGAGGUUUCUUUUUCCCACAUACUGAAUUCUUAGUUCUCCGGUACUGCCAUCACCACCAUAACCACCAGAAUCUAUGCGUUCAUCUACUUCUACUUCUCCUUCUCCUUCUCGAGCAGCAACAGUGAUUCAAAGUGAACCACGCAUCAUCUUCUCAUAUUUGAGGCUUGAGCAAGUCCUUGCAACAUCUUCAUCAUCUUUUGUUGAUUUCAGUUGGCCAUGAAGGGAUUUGGUAGAUUGGUUAACCUGUGGGCAAUGGCAUUCGAUAUGCAGAAAAAAGUCAGCUUACUAGGGUUUACUGUGCCUUCAUUAGCUCCUUACACAUGCUACUAGAGGCCUAUUGUUUGCAUACAACUAAGUUUGACUAUUCUGUAGCUUCUAAUUGUUUGUAUUGUAGGAAGAAACAUGCCUGUAAAUGGGAGAAUGAAUUGUUGUUAGUAUGAGGCGGCUUUAUGUGGUCUUUGAAAAUUGAGAAGCUUUUGACUAUUCUGUAGCAUCUCAUAAUUUUAUUGCAGGAAGAAACAUGCUUGAAAAUGGGAGAACAAUUGUUCUUAGUAUGAGGCUGUUGUCUUUGAAAAUGUGUAGAAGUUGAUACUCAUCUUCUUUACAUCGUAAGCUGUCUCUUCCAUGCACCACGCCUCUCAAAAUCAAUCUUUAAGUGACUAUUUUAACUUCUCUCUUCCCAAAAUAGGAGAAGUUUAGCAUGCGGCGGUGAUCACAAGAUAAAAUCAUUAAUAACCUGUUUAGCUAAUUUAUAUACCGUAGGUUGUAAAUCCGACAAGUUAAAGCAAACAACAUUAUCAAAUCUGACCCUGUUCUGUAGUGAACUAUGAUAGGUUUUGGAUCUUAUGUUUAAAUUAUUUGUCGAGUGAACCAACACUUUCUUCUGUUGUCAAAGUUGAAAUGUUGAUCGGCUUAUGCAUAUACUUUACCUAGAAAUUAAGAACAAAACUAAAGCUUAGAGAUAUUUUUUUAUAUAGGUUUCAUGUAAUGCAGGGUGCAUAAUUAUGACAACCAUUACAUAUAGCUCAACUAGCUUUUGCUAUAAACUCUUGGUUGCGAAUCUGUGUUAUAUAAAACCUAAUAUUCUCUUUCCAUUUUUUUUUCCAUCGGAUUCUCUUUCUACCUCUGCGAUCCCUUUUCCUCUCUUCACACAUACCCUAGACCUUUGCUUUCCUCUUUGGUUUGUAUUUGAUUGUUUGAUUUUUAUUUUGAUUUUGUAGGUCAAAAGAGACGAAUUCGAAAAACGAGUGUUUCAUCAGAUUUGAUUUAUGUCAUCUGCAUCUAAUUGUGUUUUUACUUUUUAAUGAUUUCGUCAGUUUUUAUCUCUGUCCGUUUUGAUUCUUCUUAUUUGAUUUUCUAUUCUUUUACUCCGAAUUCAGGAUAUUCUUAUUUGAAAUGCUUUUUCACCCAUUGUUUCUCACUGUUUUGAACUGAACAGCAGGCAAACCGAUCGUCUCCAACGAUUGUUUUCUUUGUUAAUGAUUUUUUUUCUUUAUUUUGAUUUUCUAGGUAAUGAAAGACUGAUUUGAAGAAUGGGUGGUAUCCUUCUAUACAAUCUUUUCGUAGAAGCUAUCCUUUCGUAUAUUUAGUUUGGGUAGUGUUUUAUCUGUUUCGGGUUAACAGGAUUGGUCAUUUUUUUACUCAUGUUUGUAUUAGUUGUGUGUUUAAAUGUUCAGAGUUCAGGUGUGUGAUUCAAAUCGUAUAAGUGGAGGACACAUUUUUUAAUAUUAAUGUUCAAAGUUCAGGUGUCAUACCGUAGACGAUAGUAUGGAACUAUGAUACUUCCUCUCAAAUUAAUUCGGUUGAAAGUAGUUUUUCUGUUUUUUUCAUUCAUGUUCGUGUAGAUGUGUCUGUUCUAACGAACGUUGGAUAUUUUAAGAGGCAGGUAUGAAUAUUUUGGGAUGCUUUAUUGUUUGACCUAGAUCUUUUCCCUUUUAAAUGAAUCUUCUGAACAAUCAUGUUGAUCUGCUUAUAUUAUAAUAUGCUUUUCCUAUAUUUUUGUCAGUUAUCUUUGUGACUCUUAGCACUGAUCCCCAUAUAUGUAAACUUUUACGCCAAUUGGUAAAUCCUUGCAGUACUAGCAGACCAAUUUUCCAUUAACAUACUCAUCUCUGAGAAAUGUUGUUCAUUGGGUGUACUUUAAUAGAUUGGCCCUCAGCUCUGUACCAUUUUAAAGUUUUGUAACAAAUUAUAUUUGGACACAGGUCCAGUGAAGUCCCCUUAGCUAUUGAGCUUCUGUCUAUAGUGUUUAAAAAAGAAGGGUGUCUAGGAAUAGGGCAAAGGAAAAUAUUUCCAUCAUAGGUUACUGCUCUUCUUUAAAAAAAAAUUCGUAAACUUAACUGACAAAUAUGUGGUCUUCUUCACAUGAUGAGCUUGCUGCUGUCUGAUUUUUGCUAACAGAUGCUUAAAUGGUAAGAGUAAUUUGGAACCGAUAAAUUUUGUAUUUAUGAUUAAUUGGCAUUUUUAUAAACCGGUAACAAUUUAUUGGAAUAUUGAUUCUCAGUGUACUGGAUUGGGUACUCAAGGUAUUCUCCGUAAUAGGCUAAUACAACUAUGGUUUUCAUGGUUUGGAGAUGCUAUCUGCAACAACCCGGAUAGGUAGUGCUGCACCGUUGUUUUAGUAAUAACUAGGUGUGAAAAAGAUAAUCCAACGUGGUCAGAUAUUCAGACAUGAUAGAAUGAAUAUAACCCUUAUGACUGAACAAAGGGACCCUGAACAAAACCUUGAAAAGUUUUUAAUCCACUCUUAGCACUCCCUCACCUUCUGUAGUUCAGCUUUGGAGACCUGAAGCCGAGUAAACCUCAUAUACCAGUGGUCAAGAUUGGUUCCUCUCAAGCAGGAAUAGAUGUUCUGCAUCUCCAAGCAGGAUAUUUGAUGCAACAAACUUAUCUUUUCUCAGAGGUAAAUUACUAGCAAUUAAGCUGCAUGUGGUGAUAGAUAUGCAUAAUUUUCGAGAAACUGCUUGCAUGAAGUUCGCUCAGCAGCAUGUUAUUUUAUGUCCUUCCACGGGUCUAUUGCUCCAGAAUAUGGAUUGAUUGGUUAGGUUUUUGUUCCUUAACUCUCUUAUCAAUCUAUUAUUAUAACAUAUCUGGAACUUAGAUGGAGGUUUUGUAAUUUUUAGUUAGCGAAACCAUUUGAUGGAAAUGGAAAUAAAUGAGCGAUAAUUCGAUUCCCCUAUCAAUAGUAGUUGCUUAAGUAGUCAUCUGUUCAAACAUAUUGUUUGAUAAUGAUUUUAUAUUACUUGCAAUUACACUGCUCAUGAGGUGCAUGGAAUGUCAAUCAAGGAUGUGAACCAGGUGUAUCCUACAUGUUUGAUAACACUUCUUAAAUCAGCUAACUGCAUUGUCCACAAUACUUAUUUCAUUGCCCGACUUGCGCUCUUCAAAGAAAAGUACUUCUUGAACUAUUGUUAAAAGGCCAUCUAAAGGUAAAAUACGUUGAUGCACAUGUGCAUCUAUUUCUUUACUUUCACAAAACAUUCUUCAUGAAAUCUGAACUCUACCAGGGAUCCUCAGCUGCAAGAAAGUAGAUCAAUUUAUCAUUUAUAUAUUUACAGUUGCAUCAUAUACAUGAUCGCAAAGUUUUUCCAUCUCAGUUCCAUAUGUAGUAGAUGUGUAUUCUAUGUGGCUGGACCUUCUGGGAAUCCCCCAUGAUUUAUGUGCACGAGUAUGAAUCUGUGGCGCAAUGGUAGAGCGUCUGAUUCCAUGUCAGAAGGUUGCGUGUUCGAAUCACGCCAGGUUGUUUUAGUUCCUAUGGUCUUACACCUUUAGGUUGAACAUACAAGUUAGUGAUGAAUAUAUUGCAGUUUUAUAUUUUAGCUUUCGUGAACGUAUACUUUCUUUGUUUGUGGGUAUCUUACAAAUUCAAACAAUUAGUUUCCUAAACACUCAGUGCAUCAAUAGCUUCAUUGACACCAUCGAUAUUCCUAUUUGGGAUCCGACCAAUUAACUCACCGAUGCAUAUGAAUGAAUCCAACAUGCUAAAAUUACAUGAUUUGGGAUUGUGGGUAGGUAAAUUGAGUUUUUUGAAAGGGAAUCAAGAAUCAAUAGUUGGUGUUAUCACCACCACCGCCAGACCUAUUUCGGUGGGAUGUAAGUAAUCCAUAACUGUCUCCUUCUUUAUUCCCUUUCGAUGCUUCUAAAUUACUAGCAGUUAUCAUUCCCUACAGACUUGAUGGCAUUGUCAUAAAGCUCUACUUUCUUAUAAGUUACAAGCAACAACAAGUCGCUACUCUACGGAGAGGGAACGGGAAGAAAAGAGCUGAGAAAGCCAGAGUUGGUCAGUUUCCGCUUCUUUUCUUUGUUAAGCCAAUAUUCACUUCAGAGGAGGACAUGUAUGAGACUGGAGAAUUUCAAUCUAAUUCAUUUUUAAUCGGGAAAGUAGAUUUGUCUAUCCAGGACCCAAAAAUACUUGCUAAAUAUAUACGAUCUUCAUUAGCAGCUUCAGUUGUGCAUAUUCUGAAACAACAUCUUCAAUCGUCAUUGUAUACUUCAACGUAUUUUAGUAAUCAAAGUAUCAAACUCAUAUCUAACGGUUUAGUCGCUAAGAAUCUCAAAUACUUGAAAUGUUGAACCAGAAGGGUGUCAUGAAACAUGGGUUACUAUUGAGUUUGGAUAUACGUCGGAUUUUAAGUAUGGAGAUUUUCAUUUUGAAACUGAAGAUGUUCGUACUUCGCAGUGAAGCUGUUGAUGAGGUUUUCUUUUUAGAAACUUAAGAUAUUUAUUGUCGGAACCUGACGAGAUUUUUAUACUUUUUUCCUUUAUUGACAUUUUUUGUGACAUCAAAAUUUCCCUUUGCUUAUCUUUUUGUUUGUCACUUCGGGAGCAGUAGUACAUGCAAGAAUAGAAUCCCAACAUGACUGCACUAAUAUGUCAUAUUUUUCCA